This is a small nucleolar RNA of Anolis carolinensis (green anole), 72 nucleotides long. Lineage: Eukaryota; Metazoa; Chordata; Lepidosauria; Squamata; Anolidae. The record is from Ensembl.
UGGAUGUGAUGAGGAAUUCCAGGCCUGACACAUCUGCUGUGGAGGCAAAAGCUGAUUUAAUGAGCCUGAUCC